This is a long non-coding RNA of Bradysia coprophila, 152 nucleotides long. The record is from RefSeq and is a predicted model, not a curated record. Lineage: Eukaryota; Metazoa; Arthropoda; Insecta; Diptera; Sciaridae.
AAGUAGAUUUGACAUAAUAGUUACUUACGUAUCUGAUGCAAAUGGUAAAUUAUAGACAAUUUCGCGGGUUAUAGCCCGAACGAAGUGAGGGCGAUAAGCGAAAGUGCUUAAAAUCCACCGUCCACAACAGAUGCGUUUUACAUUUUUUCAUG